UACGUAUGGAGCAAGCGUUAUCCGGAUUUACUGGGUGUAAAGGGAGUGUAGGCGGCUUUGCAAGUCAGAUGUGAAAGCCCGGGGCUCAACCCCGGGACUGCAUUUGAAACUGUGAAGCUGGAGUGUCGGAGAGGUAAGUGGAAUUCCUAGUGUAGCGGUGAAAUGCGUAGAUAUUAGGAAGAACACCAGUGGCGAAGGCGGCUUACUGGACGAUUACUGACGCUGAGGCUCGAAAGCGUGGGGAGCAAACAGG
Molecule: ribosomal RNA, 253 nt
Filed under: uncultured bacterium
Lineage: Bacteria
Description: partial 16S ribosomal RNA
Rfam family: Bacterial small subunit ribosomal RNA
Source: RNAcentral